RNAcentral lists this small nuclear RNA (142 nucleotides) under Chinchilla lanigera (long-tailed chinchilla). RNAcentral describes it as "U1 spliceosomal RNA (ENSCLAG00000020108.1)". It matches the Rfam family "U1 spliceosomal RNA". From Rfam's summary of the family: U1 is a small nuclear RNA (snRNA) component of the spliceosome (involved in pre-mRNA splicing). Its 5' end forms complementary base pairs with the 5' splice junction, thus defining the 5' donor site of an intron. The record is from RNAcentral. Lineage: Eukaryota; Metazoa; Chordata; Mammalia; Rodentia; Chinchillidae.
AUACCUACCUGGCAAGGGAGAUACCAAAGGUGGUUUUCGCAGAGUGAGGCUCAUCCAUUGCACUCCGAGUGUACUGACCCCUGCGAUUUCCCCAAAUGCGUGAAACUCGACUGCAUAAUUUGUGGUAGUGGGGAACUGCGUU